GUGGACUCGGGUAGUGGCGCACGGGUGCGUAACGCGUGGGAACCUGCCUUUAGGUUCGGAAUAACAGUGAGAAAUCGCUGCUAACACCGGAUAAUGUCUUCGGACCAAAGAUUUAUCGCCCUUAGAUGGGCCCGCGUUAGAUUAGAUAGUUGGUGGGGUAAUGGCCUACCAAGUCGACGAUCUAUAGCUGGCCUGAGAGGAUGAUCAGCCACACUGGGACUGAGACACGGCCCAGACUCCUACGGGAGGCAGCAGUGGGGAAUAUUGGACAAUGGGCGAAAGCCUGAUCCAGCAAUGCCGCGUGAGUGAUGAAGGCCUUAGGGUUGUAAAGCUCUUUUACUAGGGAUGAUAAUGACAGUACCUAGAGAAUAAGCUCCGGCUAACUCCGUGCCAGCAGCCGCGGUAAUACAGAGGGAGCUAGCGUUGUUCGGAAUUACUGGGCGUAAAGCGCGCGUAGGCGGCUUUUCAAGUCAGGGGUGAAAUCCCGGAGCUCAACUCCGGAACUGCCCUUGAAACUGGAUGGCUAGAAUAUUGGAGAGGUAAGUGGAAUUCCGAGUGUAGAGGUGAAAUUCGUAGAUAUUCGGAAGAACACCAGUGGCGAAGGCGACUUACUGGACAAUUAUUGACGCUGAGGUGCGAAAGCGUGGGGA
RNAcentral lists this ribosomal RNA (650 nucleotides) under uncultured bacterium. RNAcentral's name for it is "bacterial SSU rRNA". It matches the Rfam family "Bacterial small subunit ribosomal RNA", at positions 82 to 767 of the family's 1533-position model. The record is from RNAcentral.